RNAcentral lists this ribosomal RNA (466 nucleotides) under uncultured bacterium. RNAcentral describes it as "partial 16S ribosomal RNA". It matches the Rfam family "Bacterial small subunit ribosomal RNA", at positions 28 to 506 of the family's 1533-position model. The record is from RNAcentral.
GACGAACGCUGGCGGCGUGCUUAACACAUGCAAGUCGAACGGAAAGGCUCCAGCUUGCUGGCGUACUCGAGUGGCGAACGGGUGAGUAACACGUGGGUAAUCUGCCCUGCACUCUGGGAUAAGCCUGGGAAACUGGGUCUAAUACUGGAUAUGACCUUUCUCCUUAUGGGGUUUGGUGGAAAGUUUUUCGGUGUAGGAUGAGCCCGCGGCCUAUCAGCUUGUUGGUGGGGUGAUGGCUUACCAAGGCGACGACGGGUAGCCGGCCUGAGAGGGUGAUCGGCCACAUUGGGACUGAGAUACGGCCCAGACUCCUACGGGAGGCAGCAGUGGGGAAUAUUGCACAAUGGGCGGAAGCCUGAUGCAGCGACGCCGCGUGAGGGAUGACGGCCUUCGGGUUGUAAACCGCUUUCAGCAGGGACGAAGCGUAAGUGACGGUACCUGCAGAAGAAGCACCGGCGAACUAUGU